This is an unclassified non-coding RNA of Octopus bimaculoides (California two-spot octopus), 807 nucleotides long. The record is from RefSeq and is a predicted model, not a curated record. NCBI's taxonomy places the organism in Eukaryota, Metazoa, Mollusca, Cephalopoda, Octopoda, Octopodidae.
CAUUACCCCACUGUGUCUAUUGUAACCAACACUGCAGUCCAAACCAAAUACGACGUUAUCUCUGUGACGAAAACGGCAAUACGCAUAACAGUUUCUGUCAUCUCAUAUCAACAGCUUGCCAACAGGGACGCAGUAUCAGAUUAGCAUAUCAUGGAAGGUGUCGAGAAAAUGCUAAUUGUAGUAAUAUUGUUUGUCCGUCUGGCAAGACGUGUCUAACCGAUCCAAGAAAUGGCCGCCCUGUGUGCUACGGUUGCAACCGCCAUUGUGAACAUGUGCCAAGUGUUAGAGUGUGUGGCACAAACAACCGCACUUAUGAGAACUACUGCGAUCUCAGCGCCAGUGCUUGCAAACAGGGAAUUUAUAUUAAAGCUGUACAUACAGGGAGCUGUAAAUCUUCGAACGAUACACAGAGUUUGGAAAAUCACAAUAAUUACUCAUCAGUAUCAACGACAGCCAAUCCAUAAAUUAAAUUCUGUAUUGCCAAGAGACAGACAAAGCAGAGCCAGUGCACCAUGUUGUAACCAGUGAAGAGGUUGAUUGAUAUUUGGAAAUUAAGGAAGAAUGAAGACGAAAACAAGGACAACCAAUAGAAAACAUGAACAAAGAACUUUGUCGAUGUGUUCACGUUACAAAUGGACAGAAAUGGUUAUAUACUGACAAGUUUUUGCAUGGCAACUAAAAACUGCUAAUGUUUAAGAAUUAGUGCGAUGUAUGUAUGAUUACGAGUACAUGUGCAUGUAUAUAUGCGUAUAUGUGUUGUAUGGGUGGGCGUUUAUGAAUGUGUGUGUAUAUAUAUAUAUAUAUAUA